Molecule: ribosomal RNA, 494 nt
Filed under: uncultured bacterium
Lineage: Bacteria
Description: partial 16S ribosomal RNA
Rfam family: Bacterial small subunit ribosomal RNA
Source: RNAcentral
GACGAACGCUGGCGGCGUGCCUAAUACAUGCAAGUAGAACGCUGAAGGAGGAGCUUGCUCUUCUGGAUGAGUUGCGAACGGGUGAGUAACGCGUAGGUAACCUGCCUGGUAGCGGGGGAUAACUAUUGGAAACGAUAGCUAAUACCGCAUAACAGUAGAUGUUGCAUGACAUUUACUUAAAAGGUGCAAUUGCAUCACUACCAGAUGGACCUGCGUUGUAUUAGCUAGUUGGUGGGGUAACGGCUCACCAAGGCGACGAUACAUAGCCGACCUGAGAGGGUGAUCGGCCACACUGGGACUGAGACACGGCCCAGACUCCUACGGGAGGCAGCAGUAGGGAAUCUUCGGCAAUGGACGGAAGUCUGACCGAGCAACGCCGCGUGAGUGAAGAAGGUUUUCGGAUCGUAAAGCUCUGUUGUAAGAGAAGAACGAGUGUGAGAGUGGAAAGUUCACACUGUGACGGUAUCGUACCAGAAAGGGACGGCUAACUACGU